Molecule: ribosomal RNA, 381 nt
Filed under: uncultured bacterium
Lineage: Bacteria
Description: bacterial SSU rRNA
Rfam family: Bacterial small subunit ribosomal RNA
Source: RNAcentral
AUUGAACGCUGGCGGCAGGCCUAACACAUGCAAGUCGAGCGGGGUUUUCGGACCUAGCGGCGGACGGGUGAGUAAUGCGUAGGAAGCUACCCGAUAGAGGGGGAUACCAGUUGGAAACGACUGUUAAUGCCGCAUAAUGUCUACGGACCAAAGUGUGGGACCUUCGGGCCACAUGCUAUCGGAUGCGCCUACGUGGGAUUAGCUAGUUGGUGGGGUAAUGGCUCACCAAGGCGACGAUCCCUAGCUGGUUUGAGAGGAUGAUCAGCCACACUGGAACUGAGACACGGUCCAGACUCCUACGGGAGGCAGCAGUGGGGAAUAUUGGACAAUGGGCGGCAAGCCUGAUCCAGCCAUGCCGCGUGUGUGAAGAAGGCCUCGGUG